ACGGGGGGAGGAAAGUAGGGGAUCGCAAGACCUAUCGUUUUCGGAGUGGCCGAUAUCAGAUUAGCUAGUUGGUGAGGUAAAGGCUCACCAAGGCGACGAUCUGUAGCUGGCCUGAGAGGACGACCAGCCACACUGGGACUGAGACACGGCCCAGACUCCUACGGGAGGCAGCAGUGGGGAAUUUUGGACAAUGGGGGCAACCCUGAUCCAGCCAUGCCGCGUGAGUGAAGAAGGCCUUCGGGUUGUAAAGCUCUUUCAGACGGAAAGAAAUCGCUAUUCCUAAUAUGAGUGGUGGAUGACGGUACCGUCAGAAGAAGCACCGGCUAACUACGUGCCAGCAGCCGCGGUAAUACGUAGGGUGCGAGCGUUAAUCGGAAUUACUGGGCGUAAAGCGUGCGCAGGCGGUUUUGUAAGACAGACGUGAAAUCCCCGGGCUUAACCUGGGAACUGCGUUUGAAACUACAAAGCUAG
Molecule: ribosomal RNA, 471 nt
Filed under: uncultured Nitrosospira sp.
Lineage: Bacteria; Pseudomonadati; Pseudomonadota; Betaproteobacteria; Nitrosomonadales; Nitrosomonadaceae
Description: bacterial SSU rRNA
Rfam family: Bacterial small subunit ribosomal RNA
Source: RNAcentral